GGCAGGGAUGGGCUGCCACUGGAUCCAUUCACCCACUGAGCUGACAGACGUCUGGAUUGUUCCAUUCGGGGGCUGCUGGGACGUUGUUGCCAGCAUUUAUCUACGACUCUCGUCGCACGCCGAGUACAGGGGCAAGUGCAGACAUGCCUCGCCUCGCUCCCGGUUUUAGAGGUCUGUCGCCACCAGAUGCUCUGCUGUUGAGACCUUCACACGGGUGUCUUUUAUCCUGAGGCCCAGGAAGCUGCCUUCUGUUCGUGGUUGGACACUUCUUAUGGGUGUGUUUGCGUUUGUCCAGUGUUUUGCUACUUCCAUUGAGCUGAUCCUGUGGAUUUUGUCCUUUACUCCAUGAGGAUGGGCUAUGAUAUUCGUUGAUGAUUGCAUGUCUGGCCGACUGACAUUCCUGGGGGUAAAUAUUUGGUUGUGGUACAUGAUGUUGCCGUACUUGGGUUACGGAUCUUUUGUUGAGAAUUUGACAUCUCACGGUUCACAAGGGACACUGAUCUCUAGUCUCCUUCGUGACAUCUGUGGCUUUGCUGUCGGGACACUCACCUCACAGGUGGGGUGGGGAAGCUCCUUGUGUUUUUUCCGAGUUUGUGAGUGAGUCGUGUCAUGGACAGAAUGCUCAGUGGAGCUGCUGGGCUCUUCCUCUGCAUGAAAACUUCAGAUCUCGUAUCAGUUCGAUUUCUUGCUACAGUCUAUUCUGAUUUACUGUUUCCUUCUGAGUCCAUUUACAUGAUUUGUGCCUUUCUAGGAACUGGCCAGGGUUGUUUUCCUAGCAUUCCCUGAGAGUCCUGAUGCUUAGUGCUGUGGGGGUAGGGGUAGCGCCGUCCCCCUUCCCGCGUGAUUUUGGUGAUGUGUGUGUUCUUUGUUGGCCAGUCUAACUGUGGGUUUGUCAACUUCGUGAUCUUUUCAAAGAACUAACUUUUGGGUUUUCUGUUUUCUAUUUUGCUGAUUUUCCUUUUUCUUCUACUUCAUGUUUUGUUUGCUCUUUUCUCUAGUUUCUUAAGAUACAGGCCUUUCGGGCGCC
Zalophus californianus (California sea lion) is the source of this 1027-nucleotide long non-coding RNA. RefSeq lists it as uncharacterized. The transcript has 3 exons. The record is from RefSeq and is a predicted model, not a curated record. NCBI's taxonomy places the organism in Eukaryota, Metazoa, Chordata, Mammalia, Carnivora, Otariidae.